ACUCAAAUGAAUAGACGGGGGCCCGCACAAGCGGUGGAUUAUGUGGUUUAAUUCGAUGCAACGCGCAAAACCUUACCUAGGCUUGACAUCCCGCGCAUAGCUAUGAAAGUAGUGAAAUCCCUUCGGGGACGCGGUGACAGGUGCUGCAUGGCUGUCGUCAGCUCGUGUCGUGAGAUGUUGGGUUAAGUCCCGCAACGAGCGCAACCCUUGUGGUUAGUUGCCAGCAUUAAGUUGGGCACUCUAGCCAGACCGCUUGCCGAUAAGGCAGAGGAAGGUGGGGAUGACGUCAAGUCCGCAUGGCCCUUACGCCUAGGGCUACACACGUAAUACAAUGGACGGUACAAAGCGCUGCAAGACCGAAAGGUGGAGCUAAUCGCAGAAAACCGUUCUCAGUUCGGAUUGUACUCUGCAACUCGAGUACAUGAAGCUGGAAUCGCUAGUAAUCGCGGAUAAGUAUGCCGCGGUGAAUACGUUCCCGGGCCUUGUACACACCGCCCGU
This 499-nucleotide ribosomal RNA is filed under the name uncultured bacterium. RNAcentral describes it as "partial 16S ribosomal RNA". It matches the Rfam family "Bacterial small subunit ribosomal RNA", at positions 899 to 1397 of the family's 1533-position model. The record is from RNAcentral.